RNAcentral lists this ribosomal RNA (379 nucleotides) under uncultured eukaryote. RNAcentral's name for it is "partial 18S ribosomal RNA". It matches the Rfam family "Eukaryotic small subunit ribosomal RNA", at positions 592 to 975 of the family's 1831-position model. The record is from RNAcentral.
CAAUAGCGUAUAUUAAAGUUGUUGCGGUUAAAAAGCUCGUAGUUGGAUUUCUGUUGGGAACGACCGGUCCGCCCAUUGGGUGUGUAUCUGGCUUGUUCUCGGCAUCUUCUUGGUGAACGUUGCUGCACUUGACUGUGUGGAGCGCUACCCAGGACUUUUACUUUGAGGAAAUUAGAGUGUUUCAAGCAGGCAUAUGCCUUGAAUACAUUAGCAUGGAAUAAUAAGAUAGGACCUCGGUUCUAUUUUGUUGGUUUCUAGAGCUGAGGUAAUGAUUAAUAGGGAUAGUUGGGGGCAUUCGUAUUUAACUGUCAGAGGUGGAAUUCUUGGAUUUGUUAAAGACGGACUACUGCGAAAGCAUUUGCCAAGGAUGUUUUCAUUA